Long non-coding RNA from Plodia interpunctella (Indianmeal moth), 1063 nucleotides. RefSeq lists it as uncharacterized. The record is from RefSeq and is a predicted model, not a curated record. The transcript is spliced from 3 exons. Lineage: Eukaryota; Metazoa; Arthropoda; Insecta; Lepidoptera; Pyralidae.
AACGUUAUCGUCCUUUGUUCCAGGUAAGAGCUGCCCUAUUGGUGCAACAAUUUCUGCGAAUGAUCAGCCGCAGCGAAAUAUUAUCAUUACAAUUGACAAGUAAGCAAGCGAGUACUUACACUGCACGGCGACGUCAUAUGAAAUCUAUAAGAGGAUUGCACGACAUUAAAGUAAAUUGACAACAUGUAUUUUUCUCUCAUCAUCGUCGUCGGUGAGUCGACACAACAUCUUCACACUUCGAUGCAUUUCACACCUUUGUAUAGUAAUGCCGAUAUACUACGUCUUUAAAAUAUUUGUAUCCGCGUUGUUUGUUCCUGGCAAGGAUUUAAUUCAACUUAUAAUUAAUCAUUAUUCAUAACAUAAAUGCUGUAACAUGUGAGUGAUUUAGUCGCUUGAAACAUUUAAUUUCACUAUUUGGAUAAUGGUUGCUAGUUCAUUAGACUUAAAUCUUCCUCGCCAGCUUUGUCUACGACUUGAUGUGAAACAAUUCACAGCCUUCCAUCCGACCCACCAGCGGUCCCUCAUUAGACCCUUUGUGUGGCAGAUUGACCAUGGACAAUGCCCGCUAAUUGAACAUUCAGCGUCGUUGCAGGAUCUGUUGUGUUCACGUCAAAAUGUUCAACGUGAAAGUUAUUCUUAUUAUUUACGUUGGUUAUUGUCUAAUCUCUACUGUCCUUCUAAUUAAACUUAUCAGGUUCUUCAAAUACAAAUGUCGUAAGAUGAAGACAGGUAUUUUCUAUUUCGAAUGCCAUGUAAUAUUUAUCGAUUACAUAUUUAUUAAUUGACAUACAGCUAGGUUAUAAUUUUUAACAUUUGUCAUUUGUCUACACUGGAUUAGUAACUAGAAAGUUCCUAAUUAAAAGUAUACUACGCCAACUGGAUAUAAGUUAGAUUUGUUGUAUCAGCUUUUUCAAGGAAUCUAUUAAUACUGUGUUAUGACACAGUGACCCAGCCCUCGCCAUUCAAUCUAAACUUAAUCGCUUCAUGUUUAUGUCUGACGUUAUAGUUCUUAUGACUGUUGUGUCAAUCGUGAUUUAACCGUAGGUUCAAGUUAAAGGACUAG